UGGCACAAACCCGUAGAUCCGAUCUUGUGGCAAAUCUAACAGCACAAGCUCGCUUCUGUGGGUCUUUGUCAC
Non-coding RNA from Xiphophorus maculatus (southern platyfish), 72 nucleotides. The record is from Rfam. Lineage: Eukaryota; Metazoa; Chordata; Actinopteri; Cyprinodontiformes; Poeciliidae.